CUUCCAUUCACCUCCCAUCGCGCGCAAUGGAAACAGCUCCUCGAAAAAGCCGGUUAUUGCCUCAAAAACAACACGUUAUCAUCCUUUCCCCGAAAAUCCACGAUGUAACGCACUCUUCAAGAUAUUUCAGCACUCAGCGAUGCUUGUUUCUUCUCCUGCCCUGAUGAGGGGUCCAGAACAUCACUGCAACCACCCGGCUGUGCAUAGCAAACACGAGGCCAGCCAGCCCACAACCAGAGCCUCCCCCAUGUGGAACCGAAUGGAGCCAGACUACGAUCGGCAUGGAAGAUGCUGAGUGCCGUCCAGGACACAGGGAUGAGAGUAGUGAGUGAAGCGAGCAGGUGCAAACAGGCUGCUGUUAUCAGGCAGCACCUGGCACUGUCGGGACGGGUGCACUGAAUGCUCAUGAGUGAACCGAUCCAUGCAGCCACAGCCAGAACCAAAGAGAGAGCUACAAAGUAACGAGCUGACCACAGGGCUGGAUCUAAAUAGGCUUUGCAUGUUAAUGAACUGGCAUCAUGGAUAAAAGAACAUUUAGUCCAAAGUCCUUCAUAUUCUGUCCAUGAUUCAGAGUGAGUUUCCAUCUCGGUAACCCUGUGAUCACAGAGAAAGUCAAAAAGAAAAAGAAAAAUCAUAGCUACUAGGAUUCUUGCUCUCCUCAGUCUGAUGAAUGUUUCAUUAGUUUGAUUCAGCAACUCAUCUGUGAUUUCUUCUUCUCAAAGCUCUUUUUCAACCCUCUGUUGAUGGUGUCUGCAAGUGGCAAAGCUAAUAUUGAUAAUCGACUGUGGCUGGUAGGAGAAAAGUAAAGAAGAAUUUCAUCUUCAAUCCUGGAGCAUCUCAAAUAAAUAAUGGUCACAUCUUCA
Cyprinus carpio (common carp) is the source of this 863-nucleotide long non-coding RNA. RefSeq lists it as uncharacterized. NCBI's taxonomy places the organism in Eukaryota, Metazoa, Chordata, Actinopteri, Cypriniformes, Cyprinidae. The transcript has 2 exons. The record is from RefSeq and is a predicted model, not a curated record.